AGAGAUGUCCAUGAUUCGCGACAUAGGAAAACGAAGUUUUGGUUUUAGAGCUAACUAUGGCACCAUGGAACUUGUAAGAUAUUAAGACAAGAACUCGAAGCUUUGGAAGAGUUCCCAACCAAUGGGGAAACUCACCACUAAUUGUGUUGUUACCAACAUCAAGAACUUCCAAAUCUUUACAGUUAAGCAAAGAAUGUGGUAACGGUCCCUCCAAUUGGUUCCCAUUCAAGCUAAGAAUCCUUAAGCUUUCACAAUUGGCAAAUUUUGUAGGGAUUACCCCCUGCAAGUUGUUCAUCCACAAAUCUGAAACCGUCAAAUAGUAGCUGAGUUUUCCCAAAACAAUGUGGAAUUUUGCCAUUCAACCUGUUGAUAGACAAGUCAAGAAUUAUCAUAUCACUGUUGUUGCAGAUUGAAAAAGGAAUCUCUCCGGUCAACUUAUUGUUUGAAAGUAAAACAUAUCCUGACCACAACACUGCAUCAGGAAGUGAUCCUUGGAGCAAAUUUUAGUGGAUGUCAAAGUAUAGAUAACCUCUGCCACGGAAAUCCUUGGAAACUUGUCAGAAAGUUGUGCGAAAGAUUCAGAUAUGUCAACGAAGCCUCUCCAAGUCCCCAAAAACAAUCUGGAAGAGGCCCCUGAAUUUUGCUGCUGGAAAGAUCUAGAUGCUGCAAAAACUUUGAAUCUUUCAAGAAUGUUGGGAUUUCUCUUAAGUUGCAUGAGGACAAACUUAGAUAAGUAAACAUAGGGAAGGAAAAUUUUUCGUUGCUACUAGGAAGGCUCAAGGACAAGCUUUUGUACGACAGACCAAGAUCCCUAAGUUCCUUGAGUUCUGAAAUCAUCUCUGUAUCAAAAAUGCCGGUCAUGUUAUUUGAUGAAAGAAUGAGACCAGUUAGGUGCACAAGCCCAAAGAGUGACCUUGGAAUUGGGCCGUGGAGCUUGUUGUUACUUAAAUCAACGUAGGACAACUGUGAUUUAUUCACGUGAAAGUCAUCAAUAUGGCCUAGACCUGUCCAUGGGCCGGCCCAGAAAAAAUUUUUGGCCCGCCUCUUAGGCCCGGGCCCAGCCCUGCUCGGCCCGAAAUAUGGGCCUAAAAUUUUGCUCAAGCCCGGCCCGGCCCGAUUUUUUAUAAACACAAAAAAUAUUUUAAAAAUAAAAAAUAAAAAUAUUUUAAAGUAUUUUAAAUUAAAAAAUAAAAAUAAAAAAUAUAUAUUUAUUAUAUUCGGGCCAGGCCGGGCCGGGCUUGGGCCAAAAAAGUUGAGCCCGAUCCCGGCCCAUUUUUUAAAUGGGCCUCAUUUUUUUGCCUAAGCCCAUAUUUCGGGCCUAUAUUUUUACCCGAACUCUCCCAUAUUUCGGCCGGGCCGUCGGGCCGGGCCGCCCGGCCCAUGGACAGGGCUAAUAUGGCCAUCAAGAUGAUUAUAACUAAGAUCCAAGUAUUCUAAUGAUGGGAGGAUAGAAAGCAAGGAAGAUGGGGUUUUUUUACAAAAUUAUUAUAAAAAAAUAAAAAAUAACUAAAAUGUUAGGCUUUUAAAGCUUUUAAGGUUUCACAAUUUUUUUUAUUUAUCAAAAUAUACCAAAAAAAAUAAAAACCUAUAAAAAAAACUUGACAACAGCCUGAACAGGCCAAUCACAUUGGCGGCACCAAAGGUGCCAAAGUGAUUGGCCUGACCAAAGUGCCAAAGAGAUUGGCCUGGCCGGACUAAAAUGUAACUCUCUGCAGUUUCAAGGACCUGACAUGAAAUUUACUAUUUUGAAUUUUGAAAGUGAAUUGCUGCCGCUGUGCGUGUGGUACGCACUAAAAUUAAAAUGUGGCUAAUUACCUUCUAAGCCCUCCUUAUUUAUUAUUUUCUUUUUAUUCCCCUUCAACUCACUUUUUUAUUUAAUAAACAAGCCCUCAACCUAUUUUUGUAGUUAAAUAAGCUCUUAAUCUAUGAUUUUUACUCAUAAAAGCCCUUUAUUUUAUUAUUAAAGUAAAUAUAUUUUACCUAAAGUAAAGUUAUUUAAAAAAGAAUAAACUAAUUCGCAUUUUAUGUAUUAUUUUGGUAAUUUGAUGAGAAUAGUUUAUUAAAUAAAAAAAUUUGCUAAAUUUGAUGAGAAUAGUUUAUAAUUAUAAUUUAUUUUUUCUACUUGGGUUACAUUUAUGGGUGAUCAGUUUUAUUAUUACUUCUGAUUUUUCAUUAAGGCAUGCCUGGUAUUUCUAUUAAUUUUUUUAAUUAAAUCUAAUAUUAGUUAAGUGAUAAUUAAGAUACUUAGAAUUCUAAUUAAGUAAUAACUCUAUUUUACUUUAAUAAACUAUUCUCAUCAAAUUACCAAAAUUUAUAAUAUUAGUUAAGUGAUAAUUAAGAUACUUAGAAUUCUAAUUAAGUAAUAACUCUAUUUUACUUUAAUAAACUAUUGCUUUUAGGCUUAGUUUAGUAAUGUUUCAAAAAAUGUUUUUAGGAAAAAAAUGUUUUUAAGGAGAAGUAAAAAUUUAUGAGUAAAAAUCAUAGAUUAAGAGCUUUUACGAGUAAAAAUUUAGGAGAAGUAAAAUUUAUUUACUUUAAUAAUAAAAUAAAGGGCUUUUAUGAGUAAAAAUCAUAGAUUAAGAGCUUAUUUAACUACAAAAAUAGGUUGAGGGCUUGUUUAUUAAAUAAAAAAGUGAGUUGAAGGGGAAUAAAAAGAAAAUAAUAAAUAAGGAGGGCUUAGAAGGCAAUUAGUCAUAUUUUAAUUUUAGUACGCCUCACGCACAGUGGCAAUUCACUUUCAAAAUUCAAAAUGGUAAAUUUGCAUGUCAGGUCCUUGAAACUGCAGAGAGUUACAUUUUAGUCCGGUCAGGCUAAUCUUUGGCACCUUUGGUGCCGCCAAUCACUUUGGCACCUUUGGUGCCGCCAAUGUGAUUGGCUUGAUCAGGCUGUUGUCAGGUUUUUUUUUUGCAGGUUUUUUUUUUUGUUUUGAUAUAUUUUGGUAAAUAAAAAAUUUUAUAAUAUUUUGGUAAAUAAAAAAAAAAGAUAACAUUUUGGUUAUUUUUUAUUUUUUUAUAAUAAUUUUAUAAAAAAACCCAAGGAAGAUGGUAUUGUUUCGGUGAGCAAGUUAAAAGCUAAGUUAAGAGAAACCAAGCUUGAAUGGCUAUUUACGGUUGUUGGAAUAGGACCCGUCAGUUGGUUAUUUGAAAAGUCCACUAAGACAAGCUGUGUCAAGUUGAAUAAAGAAAAUGGUAACUGACCACUGAAAUUGUUACCAUCAAGAGUUAAAGAAGUAAGAUGUUCAAGUUUGCCAAGUGAAAAGGGGAGCUCACCAAUGAAGUUUUGGUCGGAGAGGUGAAUAUCGGUGAUUUGUGUAAGGUUUCCAAUUGAUGCUGGAAUAGAUCCUGCGAAAGAACCUGUUAGAUACAGGGACUUGAGGGAUACUAAGUUGCCAAUGGAGUCAGGUAAUUCUCCUGUGCCUUCAACAUUCAAAUCUUCCAAAAACUUCAAACUCCCAAUAGAAUUUGGUAAUCCUCCUGAGAAUCUUGUGCCUAUUACAUCCAAGAAUUUGAGGAGACUAGUCCAAUUAGACUUGGGAAAAUGACCUCUGAUUUGAGGAUUAGAUGAUAGCUGGAUUGAUUGCAAGUUUGGUAAUUGGAAUAAACCAAACGGAAAUUAUCCUCCAUGAGCUUCACCCAAAUAACACGUUUCUAGAUGGAGAGACACCAAAUAAGAAGACAAAUUGGCUAGAGUAAGAGGAGCAACAUGAGACAUGUCUACCCCACUGAACAUUACAUCCCUUAAAGUAGUCAUGUUUUGAACCAAUCUCUUCAUAGCAAGAUUUUGCAAGUACAAAUCAUUGCCAGAGAGAUCAAGAGAAACAAGUUUGGAUAAAUGAGAUAUUUCUUGUGGGACUAAACCAGAAAGACCAGAAUAGGAUAAAUGGAGAUGUGUCAAACUAGCUAACUGCAAGAUUGUCGAAGGGAUUUUAGACAUGCAAAAGUAAUUGUGAGCCAGGUUAAGCCAUUGAAGAUGAGAAAGAAGGAAAAGACAUGCGUGGUAACCCUCACGACAACAUCCCACUGAGAGUAGAAGUCUUUUUGUCCCACAUAUUGCAGUCCCGUAAUUCAUUUCUACCUACACUCAACACAGCUUUCAAAUUCUUGAAGAACCUCGUAGGCAAGGAGCCUAUGAAUUCAUUGUGAGAGAUGUCCAUGAUUCGCAACAUAGGGAACGAAGUUUAGGCUUUAGAGCUAACUAUGGCACCAUGGAGCUUGUUAGAUCUUAAGACAAGAACUCAAAGCUUUGGAAGAGUUCCCAACCAAUGGGGAAACGCGCCGCUAAUUUUGUUGUUACCAACAUCAAGAACUUGUAAUUCUUUGCAGUUAAGCAAAGACUGCGG
Molecule: long non-coding RNA, 4339 nt
Filed under: Gossypium raimondii (Peruvian cotton)
Lineage: Eukaryota; Viridiplantae; Streptophyta; Magnoliopsida; Malvales; Malvaceae
Description: long non-coding RNA (GRAI_LNC000884)
Source: RNAcentral